UAGAGUUUGAUCCUGGCUCAGAAUGAACGCUACUAGUAUGCUUAACACAUGCAAGUUUAACGGAACUUUGGUUUCGUAGCGAACGGGUGAGUAAAUGCAGAAUUUUACUUUUCAGUUCAGAACAAAAAGUUUUUUAAAACUUAAAUACUGAAUAUUUUUAAAGGUGAAUUUUUCCGCUGAAAAAUAAAUCUGCUUAAGAUUAGGUUGUUGGUAAUUUAAAAGCUUACCAAGCCUACGAUCUUUAGUUGGUCUUAGAGGACGAUCAACCACACUAGAACUGAAACAAGGUCUAGGCUGACUUGUCGGCCAGCAGUGAGGAAUAUUGGACAAUGAACGAAAGUUUGAUCCAGCAAUACUAACUGAGUGAUGACGGCUUAUUUAAGUUGUAAAGCUCUUUCAUCAAAGAAGAUAAUGACAUUAUUUGAUGUAAUUAGUUCUGGCUAAUACUCGUGCCAGCAGCCGCGGUAAUACGGGAAGAGCAAGCGUUAUUCGGCAUGACUGGGCGUAAAGAGUCCGUAGAUGGUAAAGCAAGUUUUUUGUUAAAUUUUAAAACUUAAUUUUAAUUAAGCAAUAAAUACUGUUUUACUUUAGAGUUUAAUGAGAAAAGUAGAAUUUUAGACGAUUAGGGGUGAAAUCCGUAGAUAUCUAAAGGAAUGCCAACAGCGAAGGCAGCUUUUUACUACAAACUGACGUUGAGGGACGAAAGUGUGGGUAGCAAACAGGAUUAGAGACCCUGGUAGUCCACACUGUCAAUUCUGAGUGCUGUAAUUUUGAUAUAGUGAUUUAUAUUUAGAUUUUUAAGCUAACGCAAUAAGCACUCCGCCUGAAGAGUACGGUCGCAAGGCUGGAACUCAAAGGAAUUGACGGGGGUCUAACACUAGUGGUGGAGUAUGUGAUUUAAUGCGAUAAUCCGCGCAAAACCUUACCAAUUCUUGACAUAAUUUAUUGGUGAGUUUUAUUUAUUUUGUAUAAACGAAAUAAUUAAGAUUUAUCGUUUUAUUACAGGUGUUGCACGACUGUCGUCAGCUCGUGUCGUGAGAUGUUGGGUUAAGUCCUAGAACGAGUGUAACUCUUACUUUUUUUUUCGAGCAGAUAGGUCUUUUAUUUUAAUUUUCUAUUUUUCGCUUUAAAAGUACAGUCAAUGAUAAAUUGAAGGAAGGUAAGAAUAAAGUCAAGUCAAUGUGACCCUGAUGAAUUGGGCUAUACAUGUGCUACAAUGGAAACCACAAAAGGUAACAAAAAAUAAAAUUUUUGGUUAAUCAAAAAAGUUUUCCAAGUUCGGAUUGUAAACUGCAACUCGUUUACAUGAAGCUGGAAUCACUAGUAAUCGCAAAUCAGCACGUUGCAGUGAACACGUAACUUGGCCUUGUACACACCGCCCGUCACUUGCAAAGAAUUAGUUUCGCUUGAAGGUUUUCAUAAAGCCCAUUGAGAGAUUAAUAAUUUGGAUGAAGUCGUAACAAGGUAACCA
Molecule: ribosomal RNA, 1471 nt
Filed under: uncultured bacterium
Lineage: Bacteria
Description: bacterial SSU rRNA
Rfam family: Bacterial small subunit ribosomal RNA
Source: RNAcentral